Molecule: non-coding RNA, 353 nt
Organism: Paramuricea clavata
Lineage: Eukaryota; Metazoa; Cnidaria; Anthozoa; Malacalcyonacea; Plexauridae
Source: the annotation of a GenBank genome assembly
CUUUUACCAAAAUUGGUUAAUGAAAGGUCUUAUAUUCCGUUAAGGUCUGGUCAUAAUAUUAGUCAAUAUAAGUGUAGAACUGAAAAAUUUAAGAAAUCAUUCUUUCCUUCCACGAUUUCGUUGUGGAAUACUCUUGAUAUUGACAUUAGAAAUUCAACUUCUCUUUCAAACUUUAAGUUGAAAAUAAAUAAGAUUUAUCAUCCGCUUUGUUAUAAUAAAUGGCUAAAUUUUUUUCUUACGAGGAAGGCAUCUGUUUUAUACAUACAAGACUAAGAUUAGGUUUUUGUGCGCUUAAUGACUAUUUGUAUAUAAUUAAUUGUUGUAAUUCUCCUUUAUGUAUAUGUUGCCAUCAA